Ictidomys tridecemlineatus (thirteen-lined ground squirrel) is the source of this 79-nucleotide non-coding RNA. Lineage: Eukaryota; Metazoa; Chordata; Mammalia; Rodentia; Sciuridae. The record is from Rfam.
AGGGUUGUGGCUCAGUGGUAGAGCACUUGCCUAGCAUGCAUGAGGCACUGGGUUCUGGGUUCAAUCCUCAGCACCACAU